Molecule: ribosomal RNA, 405 nt
Filed under: uncultured Rhodopseudomonas sp.
Lineage: Bacteria; Pseudomonadati; Pseudomonadota; Alphaproteobacteria; Hyphomicrobiales; Nitrobacteraceae
Description: bacterial SSU rRNA
Rfam family: Bacterial small subunit ribosomal RNA
Source: RNAcentral
GUGGGGAAUAUUGGACAAUGGGCGCAAGCCUGAUCCAGCCAUGCCGCGUGAGUGAUGAAGGCCCUAGGGUUGUAAAGCUCUUUUGUACGGGAAGAUAAUGACGGUACCGUAAGAAUAAGCCCCGGCUAACUUCGUGCCAGCAGCCGCGGUAAUACGAAGGGGGCUAGCGUUGCUCGGAAUCACUGGGCGUAAAGGGUGCGUAGGCGGGUUUUUAAGUCAGAGGUGAAAUCCUGGAGCUCAACUCCAGAACUGCCUUUGAUACUGGGAAUCUUGAGUAUGGAAGAGGUGAGUGGAACUGCGAGUGUAGAGGUGAAAUUCGUAGAUAUUCGCAAGAACACCAGUGGCGAAGGCGGCUCACUGGUCCAUAACUGACGCUGAGGCACGAAAGCGUGGGGAGCAAACAGG